CAGCCGCCGCGGUAAAACGAAGGGGGCUAGCGUUGUUCGGAAUCACUGGGCGUAAAGGGAGCGUAGGCGGCGUGGUAAGUCAGAUGUGAAAUCCCGGGGCUCAACCCCGGGACUGCAUCCGAUACUGCCGUGCUAGAGGAUUGGAGAGGUAGCUGGAAUUCUUGGUGUAGCAGUGAAAUGCGUGGAGAUCAAGAGGAACACUCGUGGCGAAAGCGAGCUACUGGACAAUAUCUGACGCUGAGGCUCGAAGGCCAGGGUAGCGAAAGGGAUUAGAUACCCCCGUAGUCCCUGUCUCUUAUAC
This 301-nucleotide ribosomal RNA is filed under the name uncultured bacterium. RNAcentral's name for it is "partial 16S ribosomal RNA". It matches the Rfam family "Bacterial small subunit ribosomal RNA", at positions 509 to 807 of the family's 1533-position model. The record is from RNAcentral.